RNAcentral lists this ribosomal RNA (253 nucleotides) under uncultured bacterium. RNAcentral describes it as "partial 16S ribosomal RNA". It matches the Rfam family "Bacterial small subunit ribosomal RNA", at positions 524 to 776 of the family's 1533-position model. The record is from RNAcentral.
UACGUAGGGGGCUAGCGUUGUCCGGAUUUAUUGGGCGUAAAGAGCGUGUAGGCGGCCAGGUAGGUCUGCUGUGAAAACUCGAGGCUCAACCUCGAGAUGUCGAUGGAAACCGUCUGGCUAGAGUCCGGAAGAGGAGUGUGGAAUUCCUGGUGUAGCGGUGAAAUGCGCAGAUAUCAGGAAGAACACCUAUGGCGAAGGCAGCACUCUGGGACGGUACUGACGCUGAGGAGCGAAAGCGUGGGGAGCGAACAGG